Non-coding RNA from Callithrix jacchus (white-tufted-ear marmoset), 984 nucleotides. The record is from RefSeq and is a predicted model, not a curated record. Lineage: Eukaryota; Metazoa; Chordata; Mammalia; Primates; Cebidae.
UCUGAGCCGAGAUGUCAGUAGCCACACACCACAGGAGUGACAGAUUCUACUGCUUAAGUCUAGGUUAGUUCAUUUUUAAAAAAAAAGAAAGAGGGGCCAGGCCUGGUGGCUCAUGCCUGUAAUCCCAGCACUUUGGGAGGCCAAGGUAGACGGAUCACCUGAGGUCAGGAAUUCAUUACCAGCCUGGCCAACAUGGUGAAACCCCACCUCUAUUUAAAAAAAAAAAUUAACUGAGUACAGUGGCACUCACCUGUAAUCCCAGCUACUUGGGAGGCUGAGGCAGGAGAAUCACUUGGAGUUGGAACUCGGGAGGUGGAGGUUGCCGUGAGCCCAGAUGGUGCCACAGCACUCUAGCCUGGGUGACAGAGCAAUACUCUGGAAAAAAAAUGGUGGGGAGGUAAACAAAAAAUCUUCCAAUAAUAAAAAACCUCAGGAGAAAAACAAAAAAUGAAAAUUAGAAUCAGAAUUGCUGUAUUAUCAAAAAUGUCCAAUUUUCAAUAAAAAAUUAUAAGACAUGCUAAAAAGCAGAAAAGCAUGAACCAUACUCAAGGGAGAAAAAAAGCAGUCAAUGGAAAUAAACUGUGAGAGGGCCUAUAAUUGGAUUUAGCAGACAGCCACUGUAUAAAGAACCAACAGAGAAUAUGACAAUGACUCAAUAUGUAGAGAAUAUCCAUAAAGAAAUCAAAUCUGUUUAAAAGCACCAGAUAAAAAUUUUUAAUACCUUGUGUUAAGAUUAUUUACUGUAUUUUGCGCUCCACAUGAGCUCACUUUCUGGAUAAUUGCAAAGUUAAGUAAUCGCCUGGAAAAGGUAAACAUUUUUAAAGUUCUUAAAAGGAGGCUUAACUUACUUGAUACAACGGCAAUAAAAUAGCAGUUUGAAUCAACAUACAAUCUUUCUUGUAUCUAUCAGAUGAUGUCAUGCAGAACUGCCAACACACACUUUUUGAUGUAAGACUUUCUCAAUAUACUUCAUUCAUAAUCAGA